This 360-nucleotide long non-coding RNA is filed under the name Daucus carota (carrot). RNAcentral describes it as "long non-coding RNA (DCAR_LNC006093)". The record is from RNAcentral. Lineage: Eukaryota; Viridiplantae; Streptophyta; Magnoliopsida; Apiales; Apiaceae.
GUCACAAGGAGGGACGCCUUACUUGAGAAUGUUGAUGGAAGGACGCGACCGACCCUCCGUCCACCCUGUUAUGACCAAAAUUGGUCAUGGUGUUGGAGGAGGGCGCGCCCUCUUCGGAGGUGACCGAGGGGUGCGGUCCUUGUAAGAAAUGGACCAUGAGAUGAAGACCAAGGGCGCGCCCUUAGCGGGACGAUCCCGUGGGCGCGGCCUUCGGAUAUUAGAAGACAUGUCUGACCUGUUGUUGGGACGACUCAUGGGACAAGACAACGAAGAUGAAGGGCGCGCCCUCAGGGGUCGCGCCCACAUGUGGACGCAUUGUGUGAGAGGAUGAGUGAGUCUCAGUGACGACCCUUCCGAGGG